GAUGAAGAACGUAGCGAAAUGCGAUAAGUAAUGUGAAUUGCAGAAUUCAGUGAAUCAUCGAAUCUUUGAACGCACCUUGCGCUCCUUAGUAUUCCGAGGAGCAUGCCUGUUUGAGUGUCAUGAAAUUCUCAACCUUUUCAGCUUUCUUUGUUGAUCAGGCUUGGAUGUGGGAGUAUGCGGGCUUCUCAGAAGUCGGCUCUCCUGAAAUGCAUUAGCGGGACCUUUGUUGCCUGGCUUUAGUGUGAUAAUUAUCUACGCCAUUGUAGUCAAGCAGCUUAAAAUGAGGUUUCAGCUUCUAACCGUCUCCCCUGAGACAACUUUUUGACAAUUUGACCUCAAAUCAGGUAGGACUACCCGCUGAACUUAAGCAUAUCAUAAGCGGAGGA
This 386-nucleotide unclassified non-coding RNA is filed under the name soil metagenome. RNAcentral describes it as "partial contains 5.8S ribosomal RNA, internal transcribed spacer 2, and large subunit ribosomal RNA". The stretch from base 1 to 120 matches the Rfam family "5.8S ribosomal RNA", at positions 35 to 154 of the family's 154-position model. The record is from RNAcentral.